This 207-nucleotide ribosomal RNA is filed under the name uncultured bacterium. RNAcentral describes it as "partial 16S ribosomal RNA". It matches the Rfam family "Bacterial small subunit ribosomal RNA", at positions 568 to 774 of the family's 1533-position model. The record is from RNAcentral.
AGCGUAGACGGAUGGACAAGUCUGAUGUGAAAGGCUGGGGCUCAACCCCGGGACUGCAUUGGAAACUGCCCGUCUUGAGUGCCGGAGAGGUAAGCGGAAUUCCCCGUGUAGCGGUGAAAUGCGUAGAGAUGGGGAGGAACACCAGUGGCGAAGGCGGCCUGCUGGGCUUUAACUGACGCUGAGGCACGAAAGCGUGGGUAGCAAACA